CCUGAGUCUGAUGCAAAUUGAUGGUGGCUUGAUGCAAAACUGUAUGCUGAGGGGGCUAGCACGUUCACCUCAUACCUCCAGGGUCCGGGGUUCGAGUCCCGCCGGGGCCAUGUGUGUGUGCGGAGUUUGCAUUUUCUCCCUGUGCUGCAGGGAUUUCCUCCGGGUACUGCGGUUUCCUCCACCAGUCCAAAGACAUGCAUGAUAGGCUGACUGGCAUGUCUAAAGUGUCCGUAGUGUAUGAUGAGUGUGUAUGUGAUUGUGCCCUGCAAUGGACUGGCACCCUGUCCAGGUUGUACCCCGCCUCAUGCCCGAUGCUACCUGGGAUUGGCUUCAGGUUCCCCCGUGACCCUGAAAAGGAGUAAGCGGUAGAAGAUGGAUGGAUGCUGAGGAAGAAAAUGAUUCUGGCUUCAACAACAGCAUGUGAAUCCACCUACGAGUAUGUUUUUGGGAGAUGGGGGAGGGGAAACCUGGAGGAUGCCAACACAGACAUAUGUCCGGGCUAUCAUGACACCUGGAAAUAAAGUGUUAUGACCUACGUUGGACAAAAAAUAAAUAAAUCAAACUACUCCCGAUUCAAGCAAAGAGUUCUGGUGUUAGAUAAAUAGGAACCAGCAAGAGAAAGGC
Molecule: long non-coding RNA, 624 nt
Organism: Ictalurus punctatus (channel catfish)
Lineage: Eukaryota; Metazoa; Chordata; Actinopteri; Siluriformes; Ictaluridae
Source: Ensembl